RNAcentral lists this ribosomal RNA (292 nucleotides) under uncultured bacterium. Its description in RNAcentral is "partial 16S ribosomal RNA". It matches the Rfam family "Bacterial small subunit ribosomal RNA", at positions 505 to 796 of the family's 1533-position model. The record is from RNAcentral.
GUGCCAGCAGCCGCGGUAAUACAGAGGUCUCAAGCGUUGUUCGGAUUUACUGGGCGUAAAGCGUGCGUAGGCGGCGAGGUAAGUCAGAUGUGAAAGCUCGGGGCUCAACCCCGAAAUUGCAUCCGAUACUGCCUUGCUCGAGUAGUGGAGGGGGGUCUGGAAUUCACGGUGUAGCAGUGAAAUGCGUAGAUAUCGUGAGGAACACUAGUGGCGAAGGCGAGACCCUGGACACUUACUGACGCUGAGGUACGAAGGCUAGGGUAGCGAAGCGGAUUAGAAACCCGCGUAGUCC